RNAcentral lists this transfer RNA (72 nucleotides) under Phycisphaerae bacterium RAS1. Its description in RNAcentral is "tRNA-Ser". The record is from RNAcentral. Lineage: Bacteria; Pseudomonadati; Planctomycetota; Phycisphaerae.
CUGUGAUCGGUGGGGCUGCACGGGUUGGAAACCCGUGCAAACAGACACCGGUUGGAAACCGGUGCCACGGAC